RNAcentral lists this ribosomal RNA (433 nucleotides) under uncultured bacterium. RNAcentral's name for it is "partial 16S ribosomal RNA". It matches the Rfam family "Bacterial small subunit ribosomal RNA", at positions 29 to 507 of the family's 1533-position model. The record is from RNAcentral.
AACGAACGCUGGCGGCAUGCCUAACACAUGCAAGUCGAACGAGAACUUCGGGUCUAGUGGCGCACGGGUGCGUAACGCGUGGGAACCUGCACUUAGGUUCGGAAUAACUCCCCGAAAGGGGUGCUAAUACCGGAUAAUGUCUUCGGACCAAAGAUUUAUCGCCUUUGGAUGGGCCCGCGUUGGAUUAGCUAGUUGGUAGGGUAAAAGCCUACCAAGGCGACGAUCCAUAGCUGGUCUGAGAGGAUGAUCAGCCACACUGGGACUGAGACACGGCCCAGACUCCUACGGGAGGCAGCAGUGGGGAAUAUUGGACAAUGGGCGAAAGCCUGAUCCAGCAAGGCCGCGUGAGUGAUGAUGGCCUUAGGGUUGUAAAGCUCUUUUACCCGGGAUGAUAAUGACAGUACCGGGAGAAUAAGCACCGGCUAACUCCGUG